UUACAUUUCUAAUUUGAAUUUACGUCUUUACCGUCUUUUGUAACGUGCUUUUACGCGACGUCCAAACAUUGACGUCGACGUCAUCAUUUUCUGUUGUUAUUGUUUUGAACGUCGCUUCUGUUAGCGCAAACAUAUAUUUCAAUUCAGGAACUUGAUGUAAAACUUGGUAAAGAUUAAAAAUCGAGAAUCGCUACGCUAGAGAAUAAAAUUGUAAAGUGAAUCAGCGCAUACUCGUUUUUUACUGUGGUAUCCAAGUUCCCGAACACUUGCGAUUUAGCUCGGUAUACUCUUUAGUCAGAUCAAAGUGAAAUGAAAAUAAGAUACCACGAGAACGCCGAAAAAUGGAGACAAUGUCUUUGCUCUUUGGCCUGCUUCUGGAAGGGCAUUACAGAUAAAAUACUUUGACCAAGAAAGUCAGUGAUUUGAAUUUUACCAUAAACCCUCUCAUGGGAGACGCAAACAAUAUUAACAUAUUGCCUGAGUAUUUUGACAGAGAUAUUUCUAUUACUAUACAUGAACCAGUUUUCCACUGUGUGCCACAAGAACCAUAUGAACUCGAGUCAGAUUACUGUUAUCACUAUUUUGAAAAGUCAGAUCCUAAUCCAAACAAAAAACUUUAAAACUUGAUUUGAAAAAUGUAUACCAGAAACUUGUUGUCUUACAACCAUAAAAAUGGAAUAAUUUAAACAGUUGAUUUACGGGAACGAGCACUUUUUCCUGACACCUCCACAAGGCCGGAUUAAAUUUACCACGAUAAUGUCGUGAAAGACCAAAUGAAUUGACAUUCAGACAAUAUAAAUCCUUUGAAACAAUGAUAUGUUAAAGAUGAACUGAAGUAUUUGAUGGACAAUGAUUUCAUUGAAACAAGUCAUUACAGUUUUCCGUGUAAACUUGCAUCACAACCGAAUGGUACAGACCGAAUGAGCACAAAUUAUCGCAAAUUUAAAUUUUUCCAAUGGCAAGUACUGAAAGCUAAAUUAACAGGAUUUGAGACGAAUUUUGAUCUUCUAAAAGUAUUCUGACAACCUCCACAUGCUGAUAAAGCGAAAGAUAUAGCGAAGAUCAGUAAAAAAUCUCAGCGGCUUUUAUGUAUGGUGAUAUCUGAUUUAGAUGGCUGAGACACAUACAUUAACGAUGCCAUUAUAUACUAUUAUGUAUGGAAUGACAAUCUUUAGAUAAUCAGUGACGGGAAGUUGAUUAUCAGUCUUGCAAAACGUGAGUUUUUGUUAACGUUUCUAAGUCAUGUUGUUGGCAAGGGUGAAAUUAAAGCUAAUGUCAAAACUAUCUCUUAAUUUCCUUCGCCUAUAUGUAAAAGGAAACUGAUUCCAUUUCUUGGUAUGGCUGGGUAUUAUCGAAAACUUUGCAAUUGCAGAACUGUUGACAAGCUUGCGUGAGACACGACACAAACUCAUUUGGAAUGACAUAUGUCAAAAAGCGUUUUAUAAAGCUAUGCACUAGUUCUUUUUUAAUUAGAUUUAGACAAUGUAUUUAUGUUGGCUGUAGAUGCUAGUUUUAUAUGUGUGGAUAACAACAGAGUUGACCAUCAAGUGUGUUACUUUUCUGAAAAGUUUAACGAACGCCCGAGAAAUUAUUCUUUUACAGAAAAAAGACUUUUCAUAUUCAGCAAUAGUUUUUUCGGUGAUCAAAAUCCUCUCGGUGUCUUGCAAACAACUUACAAAACCAAAGAUGUAGAGAUAGUUGAUGCAAUAAUAGAAGCUUGAUAUAAGAUGCAUAAAAGGGAAGGCAACUUGAUUUACGAAUCACAUCCACGUGUUUAAAUUUAUUUAUUGAUUACUCAUAAGCAUUAAAUAUUUGAUGUCGGAUGAUUGUUUUUGUUCAAUAUGAUAUGACAUGUAUGUGCCUGGAACUUUGUGUACUUUGAAUUUUAUUGUAAAAUCUAUGCUUUAUGCAUCAGUUUUGUCAAAAGAUAAUUCAAUUGAUGAUUUAGUUGCUUUCAUUGUGUGUUUCCCCAUUAAUUUUGAGUACUUAUAUGCCUAUGAAUAUAAAGAACGUUCUAGAAAUUACUGUUUGUUCUAUGCAUAUAACCUUACGGAUAAUUCUAGUUACUCUUGUUCUAAAUACGGUAGUUCAUAUAGUUAUUUAAAAAAAGUCUAGAAAGAUGGACGGUGCAGUCAUGCACGGACGUUUUCUAGAAAUAAACUAAGUUUUUAUAUAAAGAGACACUUAU
Long non-coding RNA from Mercenaria mercenaria, 2188 nucleotides. RefSeq lists it as uncharacterized. The record is from RefSeq and is a predicted model, not a curated record. NCBI's taxonomy places the organism in Eukaryota, Metazoa, Mollusca, Bivalvia, Venerida, Veneridae. The transcript is spliced from 2 exons.